CCCUUAGAUGUUCUGGGCUGCACGCGCGCUACAAUGACGUUUUCAAAAAGAUUGCUAAUCCGAAAGGACCAGCGGAUCUUCGAAGUGGCGUCGUGAUCGGGACAGUUGAUUGCAAUUAUUCGACUCGAACGAGGAAUUCCUUGUAAUCGUGCGUCAUCAGCGCACGCUGAAUACGUCCCUGUUCUUUGUACACACCGCCCGUCGCUCCUACCGAUCGAGCGAUCCAAUGAAUGUUUCGGAGCGGAACUGAGAUGCUAAUGCGUCUCUUUUACGCGAAUUUGUGUGAAUUUGAUCGCUUAGAGGAAGGAGAAGUCGUAACA
This 320-nucleotide ribosomal RNA is filed under the name uncultured eukaryote. RNAcentral's name for it is "partial 18S ribosomal RNA". It matches the Rfam family "Eukaryotic small subunit ribosomal RNA", at positions 1470 to 1796 of the family's 1831-position model. The record is from RNAcentral.